CUACGGGCGGCUCCAGUGGGGAAUAUUGGGCAAUGGGCGCAAGCCUGACCCAGCAACGCCGCGUGAGGGAAGAAGGUUUUCGGAUUGUAAACCUCUGUCCUUGGGGACGAAGAAGUGACGGUACCCAAGGAGGAAGCUCCGGCUAACUACGGUGCCAGCAGCCGCGGUAAUACGUAGGGAGCAAGCGUUGUCCGGAAUUACUGGGCGUAAAGGGUGCGUAGGCGGCAUAUUAAGUCAGGUGUGAAAUACUCGGGCUCAACCCGGGGGCUGCAUUUGAAACUGAUAUGCUUGAGUGUGAGAGAGGAAAGUGGAAUUCCUAGUGUAGCGGUGGAAUGCGUAGAUAUUAGGAGGAACACCAGUGGCGAAGGCGACUUUCUGGCUCAUAACUGACGCUGAGGCACGAAAGCGUGGGGAGCAAACAGGAUUAGAUACCCCGGUAGUC
Molecule: ribosomal RNA, 442 nt
Filed under: uncultured bacterium
Lineage: Bacteria
Description: partial 16S ribosomal RNA
Rfam family: Bacterial small subunit ribosomal RNA
Source: RNAcentral